Molecule: ribosomal RNA, 2511 nt
Filed under: Triticum aestivum (bread wheat)
Lineage: Eukaryota; Viridiplantae; Streptophyta; Magnoliopsida; Poales; Poaceae
Description: partial small subunit ribosomal RNA
Source: RNAcentral
AUGGCCGACGCACCGGAGCAGCCUACGCCAGACCCGCCCACACCGCCGCAGGAGGCCAUCCAAAGGCCUAAGAAAAAUAAGAAAGGCCGCAGGAAGAAACCGAAGAAAGCCGCCGCCGCCACUGCCGCCCCGUCCUCCUCUGGCGCCACCAUGGUCGAGGACCCCUUCCUCGUCCUCGCCGGCGGCAAGGAAGGAGGGUUCCUGGAGCUGGAGGAGAUCGACGGGGCCGACUUCGGGAUCUUCGGGAGCGUCGUGGAGGACGUGGGAGGAAGUGAGAAGAAAGCGUGGAAUGACCAGAAGAAGAAGAGGAAGAAGAAACGCAAGCGAGGGGAUGCCAAGCGCUUGGAUGGCGAUGCAGGCGGCGAUGGUGAUGGUGAUGGCGAUUGUGCAGGCGAUUCGGUAGCUGAGAGCGAGGAGGAGGGUGAGAAGGGUGAGAAGAAAGGAAAGAGGAAGAAGAGGAACAAGAAGAAGAGGAAGGUGAAGGAUAAUGAUUCAGAGAGCAAGGAGGACGUUGCUGAUGACAAUGUGGAAGAUAUGCAAGAUGACAUUGAAAAUAUGGAACAAGACAACAAAGAGGAGGUGAAAUUGGGUGAGGAUGAACUUUAUGCGUGGCUAGAGCUAAGAUUGCAUCCCCUUCUUAUCAAGGCAAUGCACAGGCUUGGGUUCAAUGAACCAACACCUAUACAGAAGGCUUGCAUUCCUGCAGGGGCUCAUCAAGGCAAGGAUGUUAUUGGAGCAGCUGAGACAGGUUCUGGCAAGACACUUGCUUUUGGUCUCCCUAUUUUGCAGCGCCUUCUUGAAGAACGAGAGAAGACCACAAGAUUACAUGUAGAAGAUGAAAAAGCAGCGGAGGGAAGUUCUACAGGAGGCCCACUCAGAGCACUUAUUUUGACACCCACCAGAGAACUUGCCAAACAGGUCUGUGAUCAUCUAAAAGAAGCAGCUAAGUUCUUAGGAAUUCAUGUUGUUCCUAUUGUUGGUGGUUUAUCCAUGGAAAAGCAAGAACGACUUUUGAAAAAGAAACCUGAAAUUGUUGUUGGAACUCCAGGAAGACUAUGGGAGCUAAUGUCAUCAGGCAAUCAGCACUUAGUUGAGCUUCAUUCAUUGUCAUUCUUCGUGUUGGACGAGGCUGAUAGAAUGAUAGAGCGUGGUCAUUUUAAAGAAGUGCAAUCUAUAAUUGAGAUGCUUCCAUUAUCCAAUAGUUCUGAUGAGCAAACUGUAAAAGCCACGUCAAGCUGUGAAACUGUAGCAAAUUUGCAAAUAAAGAAGAGGCAAACCUUUGUCUUCUCGGCAACGCUUGCGCUUUCAGCUAAUUUUCGUAAGAAGUUGAAGCGUGGGCUUUCUACUUCAAAGACAGCGACGGCUGAUGAUCUUAGUUCUAUUGAAGCACUUUCAAAGCAGGCUGGUAUGAAACCUAAUGCAGAAAUAGUUGAUUUGACAAAUGCUUCGAUCUUGCCUGAGAAACUUGAAGAAUCAUUCAUCGAGUGUAGUGAUGAUGAUAAGGAUGCCAACCUUUAUUAUAUAUUGAGUGUUCAUGGGCAAGGCCGCACGAUAGUAUUUUGCACAUCGAUUUCCGCACUGCGCCACAUUUCUUCCUUAUUACGCACUCUUGGAAUAAAUGUCUUGACAAAUCAUGCUCAAAUGCAACAAAGGGCUCGCAUGAAGGCUGUGGAUCGUUUCCGUGAAGGUGAGAACUCCGUUUUGGUCGCGACUGAUGGUUUUGCAAGGGGCAUGGACUUUGAUAAUGUUCGAACUGUUAUCCAUUAUCAACUGCCACACUCAAGUGAUGUUUAUAUCCACAGGAGUGGAAGGACAGCGCGUAAAUCAUUGACUGGCUGCAGUAUUGCAUUAAUCUCCCCUGCCGACAAAGCCAAGUUUUACUCUCUUUGCAAGUCAUUUUCAAAGGAGAACCUGCAGCAGUUUCCUGUUGAUCAGGCCUACAUGCCUGCAAUAAUGAAUAGGCUCUCCCUUGCUCGGCAGAUUGACAAGAUAUCAAGUAAAAAUUCAAAGGAAAAUGCUAACAAAUCCUGGCUUCAGAGGAAUGCUGAAUCCAUGGGUUUGAUAUUGGAGGCUAGUGACAGUGAGGAAGAACGUGUACGGGGCCACAAGCAACGAAAGGCGACUUCGGCACAGCUCCAGAAACUUCAACAGGAUUUGAAUGAACUCUUGCAACAUCCCUUGCAGCCUAAGACAUUCUCACGCCGCUAUUUGGCUGGGGCUGGUAUUUCACCAUUGCUUCAAAAGCAACUAGAAGAGUUGUCCAAAAGGCAUGUAAACAGUAAUAGCAGUAAUGACAAUAAUAAAGGAUCGCGGUUUGUUAUGAUUGGCCAGGAUCGUGUGGAACCGUUGAAAGCUCUUCAAGAUUCUGGGCAAGAGAUUUGUGUGAACAUGGACAAGCAAAGGGAGAAGAGAAGACUUGCUGAGAAUUGGAGGCGAAAGAAACACGAAGAGAAGAAAAGCACACGAGAACAAAAGAGAAAGGACAGGAGAAGUGCUAAAGAGAGGGACUGA